Molecule: ribosomal RNA, 433 nt
Filed under: uncultured bacterium
Lineage: Bacteria
Description: partial 16S ribosomal RNA
Rfam family: Bacterial small subunit ribosomal RNA
Source: RNAcentral
AACGAACGCUGGCGGCAUGCCUAACACAUGCAAGUCGAACGAAACCUUCGGGUCUAGUGGCGCACGGGUGCUUAACGCGUGGGAACCUGCCCUUAGGUUCGGAAUAACUCCCCGAAAGGGGUGCUAAUACCGGAUAAUGUCUUCGGACCAAAGAUUUCUCGCCUUUGGAUGGGCCCGCGUUGGAUUAGCUAGUUGGUAGGGUAAAAGCCUACCAAGGCGACGAUCCAUAGCUGGUCUGAGAGGAUGAUCAGCCACACUGGGACUGAGACACGGCCCAGACUCCUAGGGGAGGCAGCAGUGGGGAAUAUUGGACAAUGGGCGAAAGCCUGAUCAAGCAAUGCCGCGGGAGUGAUGAAGGCCUUAGGGUUGUAAAGCUCUUUUACCCGGGAUGAUAAUGACAGUAACGGGAGAAUAAGCUCCGGCUAACUACGUG